Eptesicus fuscus (big brown bat) is the source of this 823-nucleotide long non-coding RNA. RefSeq lists it as uncharacterized. The transcript is spliced from 3 exons. NCBI's taxonomy places the organism in Eukaryota, Metazoa, Chordata, Mammalia, Chiroptera, Vespertilionidae. The record is from RefSeq and is a predicted model, not a curated record.
CGCCACCAUCGCUGCCCGGGUGUGCGCGGGUCCUGUUUGUGACAGUGAGGCAGAGGAGGAUUAUCCGGAUCAUGGCCUCCCGGCCAGAAGCCACAGUGUCUCUCCCUGGCCCCAGAGCGCCCCUAGCACCCGGACAGUGGCGGGCGACCUACGCCCGAGAUUCCCGCGGCUCAAGCUGCAGGAAGACUCAGAGCAAAAGAAGACAAGCCCGGGGAGGGAGAGAGCGGGGGAGGCAGGCACAAAGAACAUUCCUGCCAAAUGUGCCUCUUUUCUAAAGGGCUUCGAGCUUCCUAAGGACUGCAAGCUUUCCAAAUGCCAACGGGGGAAAAACGCCUUAAAAAUAAAGAAACCCGCCCCAACCCUUCUGUUUACUUAGUGGACCAGACACCGCACUGGGACGUUCCCUCACCUGUCAUCUCCGACCGGAGGAUCUUCUCUCCCACCCCACGUUUAAGACCAAUUAAAGCUACAAACAGUAAACUGCUGGCACUUUGCGUUUUGGAGACCUCCUGAUCCAGUUGUACUAGCAAUGCAGUACUUUGGCGGGAGGACUGGGUCAGUGUUUGCUGAGACAAUUUUAUUUUUAGUUUUAUGAAGUGUGAAAGAAGGUUGGGUUUUAAAUCACGGGCCUAUUAUUUUAGACUCAGAUUGAUGUAGGUGCUUGACUCUUAAAAUUAAAACUGCUCCUAUACAAUAGUGUUAUGAAAGUAUGAUUUAUCCUUUAUUUUGUAAUGUAAUGGCUUAAAUUAGUCAUCCAAAGUGCACUGUGACUACUCGGUUGAGGGUUUUUCUCCCUGGAGUAAAAUCCUAUUUUAAGACCGCU